GUGAUUUGGUCAUAUUGAUAGGGUAUCCAUCCAAACAUGUUGGGUGUUAAAAGUUUCAACGUAUAGUCCGAAGCAACCCUUUCCACAGUAGUCACCAUGACAGGUGACCACCUGAGACGCCCAAAAAUGUGUGGUUUGUUGCCUUUUCUCACAAGCCUUUUUUUAUUUUGUUUGUGGCAGGAUUGUCGUACUCUCGUGACUCGGCAACGUCACGUCCACCGCGACGGUGGGCCUGGAGGAUUUUCGCUGUCUAGGGAGUGUUUGAGGUUGGGGCACGGCACGCCACAAUCGACUUUGCGUCGCGUCGUUGCGCGUUUUGCCGCUACGGUAUUUCAAAUGUCUUUCGCGGUUUUUUUAAUGCUGGCCAGCAUUUUUUCAUUCGUUUGUUUGUCGAAGGUUCGUAAAUGACGCCGCCGAUAAGCGCGUGUUUAUCUGACUAUGAAAUGUUAGUUUGACUCUAGUCAAUUAAACAAUUCUUUAUUAUUUUAUAUUAUGCGUGUGCCAUUUCCGAGUUAUGCAAACUGAGGAAUGUAACGAAUUUGUUACGUCAUGUCCAAAUCAGACCAAAUCUAUUCAAAGAUGGCGCCCGCCCGCCCUCGUUCCGUUACGCAACAAACAUUUGCGCGGGUUAUUUUCUCCCGUUUUGGACGCCGCAAACCUGGAUCAUCUGUCCAAUGUGAGCACUAAAAAAGGCUGCCCAGCCAGCAUCCUUCUAUACAAAGCAAGCAGGAGGCUCUUGAGGAGCCAUUUCAGUGAUGUUGAGGACACUGAGGAAGAGUAGUCCUAAAUCAGGCUGCAAGAGAAGCUGAAUGGGAUGAGGAAAAGUAUAAUUCCAUAUCCAAAGGAGCAAUGGCCUAUCCAAAGGAGCAAUGGCCUAUCCAAAGGAGCAAUGGCCUAUCCAAAGGAGCAAUGCCAUAUCCAUAGGAGCAAUGCCAUAUCCAUAGGAGCAAUGGCCUAAAAGGAGCAAUGCCAUAUCCAUAGGAGCAAUGGCCUAAAAGGAGCAAUGCCAUAUCCAAAGGAGCAAUGCCAUAUCCAAAGGAGCAAUGCCAUAUCCAAAGGAGCAAUGCCAUAUCCAAAGGAGCAAUGCCAUAUCCAAAGGAGCAAUGCCAUAUCAAGUCAAGAAUCAAGCAGCGCACUGCAAAAGUCGACGUGUGCGGAUCACGUGCCCAGGAGGGGGCAGUGUGGUUGCCUUUGGUUAUGGGUGCACGACGGAAAGGUUGCAGGUGUGGACAGUGUUUGGGGGUCUGAUGGUUGGUCUUGCUUAAGAGGUGUGCUGUGGUUGUGGUUAGUCUGGAGCCAGCAUUGUCUUGCGCUUGGUUGCCAUUGACGGCUCACUUGGGGGAGGACGUGGUUACGUGGAUGGAGACAAAAGUAAACUUUGACGUGGAUCCGAAUGUCCAAUUUUGCAAUUUGACUUGUGACAUUUUGUCUUUUUCUAACCUACCACUGUUGCACUUGCGUUCUUUUUUCACCCCUAGGUGUUGGAGCGAGGCAGUCACAUUUUGUCUUUUUCUAACCUACCACUGUCGUGCUUGAUCUAAGCCUAACGUACCACUGCGCGUCCUUUGUUCUCUAGGUGUAGGGGGGCGGUGUUGGGGCGAGCCGGUCCACGACGAAGACACAACAAUGCGAGCAGCGCCCAACUCAUUGCAUGUUCUGCCUUUUGCAGGCCGGACGCAAAAGGGGGGGCGGCGCACGGCCCGAUCCGACCCGGCGACGGUCACCAAGAGUAGCUAGCCGCUGUGAUCAAAUGGCGACCGGGACGCGACACCAUCUGAUCAGAGGUGGACGGACCGCUGUGGCAUCGCUCUGAAGUAGCCGAGUUCUGAGGGAGACCCGCUUCCCUGGAGGUGUCGACCUGCGCAGCUUCAACGUGUGAAAUGGAUUUUUUUUUUUUUUUUUAAAUUCACACCAGCGGUGUCCAAAUGUCUGUUUGAGGGCUGCAUACUGAAACAAAUUCAGAAUUCUUUGACACAAAUUCAUUAAAUCAAUCACGGAAUUUUGCCAUUCAUAUUUUGUGCUACUGCUACAAAGCGGUGUUGUGUUCAUUCAUGUGGUGUGUUGAUAAAGUUGCCCCGAGGCUGCCAUUUGGACACCAAUGGUGACAUGUGUAGGGCUGCACGUGUAUUGGAAAACUGCCACAUGGUGGUAUAGGUUAUUGACAUGCACUUUAAGAAAGCUUUUAAGAUUUUUUUUUAAUGUGGCAAAUGAAACCUGUUUUCUUGCCUAACUAUUUGUAAUGAGUUUAGAAGAUAAGUCAUUGAUGCAAGUUAAAGUUAACUAAUCUAACUGAUCUCAUUGCGAUCAAAUAGUUCACCUCCAUCCCAGAAUUUUGCACAACUUUGCUCAAUGCAACAGUCUGGCCCAAUACUGCCAUAUCACUGAUUUUCCAAAAUGUUGUGCAGCCCUGAUUGAGUGCCAAACGCGCAGCGGCGGCAAGCGACCGCGCAAGCGACCGCGCAAGCGACCGCGCAAGCGACCGCGCAAGCGACCGCGCAAGCGACGGCAAGCGCAAGCGACGGCAAGCGCAAGCGACGGCACGCGCAAGCGACGGCAAGCGCAAGCGACGGCAAGCGCAAGCGACGGCAAGCGCAAGCGACGGCAAGCGCAAGCGACGGCAAGCGCAAGCGACGGCACGCGCAAGCGACGGCACGCGCAAGCGACGGCACGCGCAAGCGACGGCACGCGCAAGCGACGGCACGCGCAAGCGACGGCACGCGCAAGCGAGACAUUUGUGCUUGUCUUGCAAGGUGGAAGAGACGAUGCACGAAACGAAGAGCCGGCGGACGGAGGCCACCAGACCAGUGAGCAGGGUGCAAAGGAAGGAAUCACCCAAAGAAAGCAGUUGCCAAGUGAUGAAGAGGAGCCUGACGCAUGACUGGCCAAGGCUGGCCAGAGGUGACAUGGCAAUCCAAUAUGCAAGGGUAGUGUACACACUUGUUGGUUUUAAUUUAGUUUCCUUAUUUGUCUGCCUUUCAGGGUUGCCGGGGCAGCGGAUGGGACGAGCGCCAGCCUGCACCGAGAGGUACCGGGCCGCACCCACAAGACCAGGGAGGGGGCAGGAUUGCCGGGGCAGCGGACCGGACGAGUGCCUGCACCGAGAGGGACCGGACUGGACCGCGAGACCAGAGGUUGCGCGAGGCGGAGGAUGAGUGCAAACGUCGAGUACCGGCCGGGAGGGGACCCGAACCAUCGGCCGGCCGGCCGACCUUCGCCCGUGACGAGCGGCCUACAACAGACGGACGCACGGGUGCAGAUGCGGCGAGGGCAAAGUGCCCAGCCAGCAUUUAAGGAGAGUAUCACUUUGUUUUUCCUUUGGUGCUUUCUUUCUUGCCCUCCCUCCCUCCCUCCCUCCCUCCCUCCCUCCACUUUUUCACUGGGUGUGCACACUGGCUGUCUGCAUGAUGCCUCUUUCUUUCUCAGCGCAGCGUCAUUUUGCAAUAUUGUUUUAUUGUUGUGUUUUUUAAUACAUGAAGAACUGUUUGGACUGUCAUUGUGUGUGUGUGUGUACCUCUGAACCUGAAUUAAACUGUGAACUGAAUUCAAGUGGUCCAUUUUAAACAUUGGCAUUCUAUCAUUCAUAAAAACUGGAAUCAUUUGAGACAUUCUCAAUGAUAAGGCAAUUGUAAAGUUAGUCUCAAACAAAAUUGUCUUGUUAAAUAUGCACUGUCAGGCUUUUUAUUUUUACUACACAAAGAAAAGCUGUAUGCAUUCUAAAUUGUUGACAAAAGCCAAGUAGCCUGACACCCAUAGAUUCGAACGACAAGCUUAAGCCUACGAACAGUCCCCGUUGCGAUCAAUAAGUCUUCUUUGGCAACCCUGCUUUAAAAUGGCCACCGAACUCACAAUCUUGCUUUAUGUUGGUGCAUUUUUCUGUACGAGUAAAAGUCUAUUUUAAUCAAGUCUGAGGCUUUUUUUUUUUUUAAAUCAUGCAUCAUGUGGGCAUUCUUGUGAAUAAAGUCCACGUUGGUGUGUUUUCUUCCUGUUUGUGGUCUUGUAAAUAAAGUCAACUUUGGUGUCAGUCAUCA
RNA transcript from Syngnathus acus (greater pipefish), 4028 nucleotides. RefSeq lists it as uncharacterized. Lineage: Eukaryota; Metazoa; Chordata; Actinopteri; Syngnathiformes; Syngnathidae. The record is from RefSeq and is a predicted model, not a curated record. The transcript has 10 exons.